CAGGCUUGAAAAGAGGCUGUGGCUAUGCCUUUUAACUCUGGAGAGGGAGCAUAAGAAGUGUUUGUUUAAGGAAUGAAUGACCUAUCCAUUUAGGACCUGUUUAGACCCUGAGGAUAACCCUGUGAGUUGCUGAUAGUUCACUGGGUCUGGCCCUCAGUGUUGAUCUCAGUAUGCUGCGGCGAAAACCAACCCGCCUGGAGCUGAAGCUUGAUGACACUGAGGAGUUUGAGAGCAUUCGAAAUGACCUGGAGACCCAUAAGAAACAAAAGGAAGAAGUGGACGUUGUAGGAAUCAGUGAUGGAGAAGGUGCCAUUGGGCUGAGCAGUGACCCCAAGAGCCGGGAACAAAUGAUUAAUGAUCGAAUUGGUUAUAAACCCCAACCCAAGCCCAAUAAUCGUUCAUCUCAAUUUGGAAGUUUUGAAUUUUAGAGGCGGAUUGUCUGGCAUGCCAGAGCCCUGGAAUGGAGUAAAAUGAUGGCAGAAGUACAAACAAGAUUUAGAGAAUUGAGUGCAUGCAGUGAAGCAGAAUGUUUUACCUCCUGCUGAGAAACACUUCUGCAUGAGAUUACUGAUGCUUAACUUUUGCUCUAAGUGGAAAUCUAAACUCUAGUUUGUCUCUGGAAAAUUUGACUCUAUAAAACUUGUCUGAUUUUUGUUUUUAAAAAUAAAUAUAUUUUUGG
This is a non-coding RNA of Leptonychotes weddellii (Weddell seal), 679 nucleotides long. The record is from RefSeq and is a predicted model, not a curated record. Lineage: Eukaryota; Metazoa; Chordata; Mammalia; Carnivora; Phocidae.